Molecule: signal recognition particle RNA, 304 nt
Filed under: Staphylococcus epidermidis
Lineage: Bacteria; Bacillati; Bacillota; Bacilli; Caryophanales; Staphylococcaceae
Description: signal recognition particle sRNA large type
Rfam family: Bacterial large signal recognition particle RNA
About the family: The signal recognition particle (SRP) is a universally conserved ribonucleoprotein involved in the co-translational targeting of proteins to membranes. Archaeal SRP consists of a 7S RNA and homologues of the eukaryotic SRP19 and SRP54 proteins.
Source: RNAcentral
CCGUGCUAGGUGGGGAGGUAGCGGUUCCCUGUACUCGAAAUCCGCUUUAUGCGAGACUUAAUUCCUUUGUUGAGGGCGUAUUUUUGUGAAGUCUGCCCGAAGCACGUAGUGUUUGAAGAUUUCGGUCCUAUGCAAUAUGAACCCAUGAACCAUGUCAGGUCCUAUGCAAUAUGAACCCAUGAACCAUGUCAGGUCCUGACGGAAGCAGCAUUAAGUGGAUCCUCAUAUGUGCCGUAGGGUAGCCGAGAUUUAGCUGUCGACUUCGGUAACGUUUAUGAUAUGCGUUCGAUACAAAGGUGCAUGG